RNAcentral lists this ribosomal RNA (498 nucleotides) under uncultured bacterium. RNAcentral describes it as "partial 16S ribosomal RNA". It matches the Rfam family "Bacterial small subunit ribosomal RNA", at positions 29 to 507 of the family's 1533-position model. The record is from RNAcentral.
ACGAACGCUGGCGGCGUGCUUAACACCUGCAAGUCGAACGGGCCCGCUCUCUUUUUUGGGGGUGGGUUGAGUGGCGAACGGGUGAGUAUCACGUGAGUAACCUGCCCCCUGCUCCUGGAUAACUGCUUGAAAGGGCGGCUAAUACGGGGUGUGCCGGCUGGUCCGCAUGGGCCUGGUCGGGAUAGUUUCAUCUUCGGGUGUUUCGGUGGGGGAUGGGCUCGCGGCCUAUCAGCUUGUUGGUGGGGUGAUGGCCCACCAAGGCGGUGACGGGUAGCCGGCCUGGGAGGGUGGGCGGCCACACUGGGACUGAGACACGGCCCAGACUCCUGCGGGAGGCAGCAGUGGGGGGUAUUGCACAAUGGGCGGAAGCCUGAUGCAGCGACGGCGCGUGAGGGAUGGAGGCCUUCGGGUUGUGAACCUCUUUCUCCGGUGGUGAAGGCCCUGUCCGUUGCGGCGGGGUUGACGGUAGCCGGGUAUGAAGCGCCGGCUAACUACGUG